Molecule: ribosomal RNA, 442 nt
Filed under: uncultured bacterium
Lineage: Bacteria
Description: partial 16S ribosomal RNA
Rfam family: Bacterial small subunit ribosomal RNA
Source: RNAcentral
CCUACGGGUGGCAGCAGUAGGGAAUCUUUCACAAUGGGCGAAAGCCUGAUGGAGCAACGCCGCGUGCAGGAUGAAGGCCUUCGGGUUGUAAACUGCUUUUAUAAGCGAGAAAUAUGAUGGUAACUUAUGAAUAAGGAUCGGCUAACUACGUGCCAGCAGCCGCGGUCAUACGUAGGAUCCGAGCAUUAUCCGGAGUGACUGGGUGUAAAGAGUUGCGUAGGUGGCAUAAUAAGUAGCUAGUGAAAUCUGGUGGCUCAAACAUUCAGACUAUUAGCUAAACUGUUAAGCUCGAGACCGUUAGAGGUAAGUGGAAUGUCUGGUGUAGGAGUGAAAUGCGUAGAUAUUAGAAGGAACACCAAUAGCGUAGGCAGGUUACUGGGACGGUUCUGACACUAAGGCACGAAAGCGUAGGGAGCGAACGGGAUUAGAUACCCCUGUAGUC